GGCGGCGGCGUGGUCCCGCCGUCCCGCCGCCGCUAUGAACGAGGCGGUGGUGCGGCGGACUCAGGAGUCUUUGGGCCGAGUGAUCCGUAAGCCGCCGCUAACGGACCGGUUGCUGAGUAAGCCGCCCUUCCGCUACCUGCACGACGUGAUCACCGAGGUAAUUAGAGUGACAGGUUUUAUGAAAGGACUUUACACGGAUUUUGAAUUGAAAUCAGAUAAUGUUAAGGAUAAAGAUGCCAAAAUCAGCUUCCUUCAGAAGGCAAUUGACGCUGUUGUAAUGGUAACGGGAGAGCCGCUGUCUGUAAAACCGGCGCGUGUUGUGGCUGGACACGAACCUGAAAAAACCAAUGAAUUCCUUCAAGCAAUUGGGAAGUGUUGCUUAAAUAAGCUGUCAAGUGAUGUUGCUGUAAAACGGAUCUUAGCUGGGGAAAGAGUUGAUGCUAAAGGGAAACCUCCAUCCUCUAAAUCUCGAGAUAAAGAAAGCAGAGACUCCAAACCAGAAGAACAAAAAAGCCAUAGAGAUAGAGAGGGUAGAGGAGAUACUGAAAUUAAAGACAGAAGCUCAAGCAGAGACAGAAAACCCAAAGGAGAUUUGAAAGAGGGCGAAGAAAGAGAAAAGGAAAGUGAUAAACAGAAGGAUAAUGAAGACAGGCAUAAAGACCCUGAAAGAGACACCUUUAAGGAUGGAGAAAAACAAGAAAGGGAAAGAAACAAAAGCAGAACAACCAAGCAAGGAAGAGAAACAGAGAAAAACAAGGGAAAAGGAGACAUAGAACGAGAAGCUGACCUUGACCGUGAUAAAGGACAGGAAAGAGAGAAAAAAAAUGAAGGAGGAAGAGAAAAGGACAGAGUGAAAGGAAGAGACAAGGAUAAGGCUAGGGACAGAGAACGAGAGAAAGACAGAGAUAGGGGAAAAGAUCGGGAAAGGGAUAGACACAGGGACAGAGAAAAAGAUGGGGAGCAUUUAAAAGAACAUGGAAAGGAUAAAGCAGAGAAAAAGUCCGCAGAUUCUGAGGAAUCCGCACUUCGAAAAAUGCAGAGGCCAAGUAAAGACAGCAAGUGCCAGCCGGAUAAUGAGAGUGAAAGUCCUGCGGGAAUAUCAAGGCAACCUUCAACAAAAGGAUCAAGGCAACACGCCAAACCCGGAGGAGAAGGAACCGUGGAAACAAAGAGCAUGGCAGAUAAGAUUUCAGAGAACAACGUUGCUAAACCACAAGAGAAAGCUGACCCAGGACUUCCAGUAAAACAGAAAGAAGGAGAAGCAGAGAACGCAGCUCCUGAAAAGCCUGCAGUAUCUGAAAAUGGUGAAGUACCUAAUGAUCUUCCACCUCAGCCUGUCCAAAGACGUAUUCCCCGUCCGAGUAGUGCAAGACCAGCACCUCCCCGAGUAAAACGUCAAGAAAGCACAGAGGUCUUGCUUCCAGAAAGGAGUGGUAGUGGUAAAACAGUCUCCAACAUCAUCAUAGACCAGCAGAUUUCUGAUGCUGACGAUGACCAGUUUGUGGUGGAGGCAGCACCGCCACUGCCAGAAAUGCCAGAAAUGGAAAUGGAGCCAGAAGUGGAGCUGGUUGAGGAUGAAAAGCAUGGUGGCCUUGUGAAAAGAAUCCUAGAAACCAAGAAAGACUAUGAGGCGUCACAGCAAUCAUCAAAGACGACAGAGAGGGAGAAGCCCCUUGUAUCGGAAGCAGCUAGGAAGAGAGAGAGAGACUUGGUAGCCAAAGAAAUUGAGAAGUUUCAGGUCUCUAUUCAGACUCUGUGCCGGAGUGCCCUUACGCUUGGCAGGAUCAUGGAUUACAUUCAGGAGGACGUGGAUGCCAUGAAGAACGAGUUGCAGAUGUGGCGGCACGAGAACAGACAGCACGCAGAAGCUCUACAGAAAGAGCAAAGCAUCACAGACAGUGCUGUAGAACCAUUAAAAGCUGAUCUGGCUGAACUGGAACAGUUGAUUAAAGACCAGCAAGACAAGAUCUGUGCUGUAAAAGCUAAUAUUUUAAAGAACGAAGAAAAAAUCCGGAGGAUGGUUCUUAGCAUAAACCUGUCUUCAAGAAGGUGAAGAAGAGGGAAAUAAAAAAAAAAAAAAAAAAAAAAAAGCAGCCUUGGGACUGACUGACAUUCCUACCAAAUAAAAUAGCAGAGAAAACUAAGAUAUGCCUUGUUUAGAUAUAAAAUGUUAAGGGGACCAGAAGCCUAAAAAUAAUAUAAAAUCCCAUUAUUGCAUUGAUCUUUAGAUGUUGAUAUUACCCAGGAUAAAAUUAUAUUCGUUUGAAUGCUCAAGUUGCAGAGCUAUUAAAAUAAGUUGUUUGUUUAGAUGUGAACUGCUGUUACUCACUUACCAGGUCUUCCCAGCCCUCUUUCCCUGCCUGGCCUGUUGAGCGCGGUUCCUGAGCCAGUUCUCUCUGCGUCUCCUUCUCCUCAUUUCCACUGAGGUCAGAAGGUUCCUGAAUCCUGUUUGUUACUAACGGGGAAAAUAAUCUGCAAAUCAAUGCCACGAGAUGAAGAAGUAAAGCCUUGUGUAACUUGCAGUUCUUUGCACCAUUACAGAGAUGAUGUCAUGUUUUCAGAGUUAUCAGGAAUCUUAUUAGGAACAACUCAAAAUGCAAUACGAGCAUCACCAUGUAAGGGAGCAGAAGUAUUUUAUCUGCACAGGUGUUAAUUCCAUUUUUAUUGCAUAUGUUCAUUUGGAAAGGAUUAAUUUAAGUACCUGUUUCCUCCCAAAUGCAUGUUCCUGUAACUUUUUGUAUGUGAAUAAUUCCGCUGAUUUUUUUUAGUUAACUGCAG
Grus americana (Whooping crane) is the source of this 2778-nucleotide RNA transcript. It is a transcript of the gene named TRAF3 interacting protein 1, with no coding region annotated. Lineage: Eukaryota; Metazoa; Chordata; Aves; Gruiformes; Gruidae. The record is from RefSeq and is a predicted model, not a curated record. The transcript is spliced from 16 exons.